GAUGAACGCUGGCGGCGUGCCUAAUACAUGCAAGUAGAACGCUGAAGGAGGAGCUUGCUCUUCUGGAUGAGUUGCGAACGGGUGAGUAACGCGUAGGUAACCUGCCUGGUAGCGGGGGAUAACUAUUGGAAACGAUAGCUAAUACCGCAUGACAACAGUUACUGCAUGAUAACUGUUUAAAAGGGGCAACUGCUCCACUACCAGAUGGACCUGCGUUGUAUUAGCUAGUUGGUGAGGUAACGGCUCACCAAGGCGACGAUACAUAGCCGACCUGAGAGGGUGAUCGGCCACACUGGGACUGAGACACGGCCCAGACUCCUACGGGAGGCAGCAGUAGGGAAUCUUCGGCAAUGGACGGAAGUCUGACCGAGCAACGCCGCGUGAGUGAAGAAGGUUUUCGGAUCGUAAAGCUCUGUUGUAAGAGAAGAACGAGUGUGAGAGUGGAAAGUUCACACUGUGACGGUAUCUUACCAGAAAGGGACGGCUAACUACGUG
This 495-nucleotide ribosomal RNA is filed under the name uncultured bacterium. RNAcentral describes it as "partial 16S ribosomal RNA". It matches the Rfam family "Bacterial small subunit ribosomal RNA", at positions 28 to 507 of the family's 1533-position model. The record is from RNAcentral.